UACAUAAAAUAAAAUAUAAUACGAAACUAUAAAAAUAAUGGAUGUUGUCAUUUCCAUAUCUAAUUAAAGGCCACGAGUCCUAAGUUGCUGUAGAAAAUUUAUUACAUUUGUCCUCUUGGGCCUGUUUGGGAAACAAAUGAUCAAAAAAAUCUCCAUAUCCAGGCAGCUCGAGAAUCAUCCUUCCACAGUAUUCAACACUGGUUGGUGCUGUGGGACUUCACUUUUCAUUAUCUGGCCUUUUAUUUUUCUUCCUACUUGACUUUUCGUUUCUAUCUCUCUUUCUAUCACCGCUUGAGAAG
RNAcentral lists this unclassified non-coding RNA (299 nucleotides) under Hevea brasiliensis (rubber tree). Lineage: Eukaryota; Viridiplantae; Streptophyta; Magnoliopsida; Malpighiales; Euphorbiaceae. The record is from RNAcentral.